RNAcentral lists this ribosomal RNA (659 nucleotides) under Cortinarius semisanguineus. RNAcentral describes it as "eukaryotic LSU rRNA". The stretch from base 254 to 407 matches the Rfam family "5.8S ribosomal RNA". The record is from RNAcentral. Lineage: Eukaryota; Fungi; Basidiomycota; Agaricomycetes; Agaricales; Cortinariaceae.
GCGGAAGGAUCAUUAUUGAAAUAAACCUGAUGGGUUGCUGCUGGCUCUCUUGGGAGCAUGUGCACACUUGUCAUCUUUAUAUCUCCACCUGUGCACCUUUUGUAGAUCUGGAUAUCUUUCUGAAUGCCUGGCAUUCAGGUUUGAGGAUUGACUUUUGUCUUUCCUUACAUUUCCAGGCCUAUGUUUUCUUCAUAUACACCAUGUAUGUUAUAGAAUGUAAUGAAAAGGGCCUUUGUGCCUACAAACCUUAUACAACUUUCAGCAACGGAUCUCUUGGCUCUCGCAUCGAUGAAGAACGCAGCGAAAUGCGAUAAGUAAUGUGAAUUGCAGAAUUCAGUGAAUCAUCGAAUCUUUGAACGCACCUUGCGCUCCUUGGUAUUCCGAGGAGCAUGCCUGUUUGAGUGUCAUUAAUAUAUCAACCUCUUCAUGUUUUUACUUGUUGAGUGUUUGGAUGUGGGGGUAUCUUUUGCUGGUCUCUUUGGAGGUCGGCUCCCCUGAAAUGCAUUAGCGGAACAAUUUGUUGACUCGUUCAUUGGUGUGAUAACUAUCUACGCUAUUGACGUGAAGCAGGUUCAGCUUCUAACAGUCCAUUGACUUGGACAAAUUUUCAUUAAUGUGACCUCAAAUCAGGUAGGACUACCCGCUGAACUUAAGCAUAU